ACCAGUCAGUUUUGUAAGUUACC
RNAcentral lists this microRNA (23 nucleotides) under Saccoglossus kowalevskii. RNAcentral describes it as "Sko-Mir-4824_3p* (star (passenger))". Lineage: Eukaryota; Metazoa; Hemichordata; Enteropneusta; Harrimaniidae. The record is from RNAcentral.